GGUUGUACAGUGAUUUAUCUUUUAAAUUAUCUGCAAACUAUAUAAUUCAUUUAUAAACCCAUUAAUCAAGGUGAUUAGAUAGGGGCGCUGGUGAAGCCAUGCCCCAUCGAUAGAGGCAGCUACGCCGCUAGAACAAGCCUAGAGCCGGCCCCCACUACACCGCUGCCUGGGAACAUGUCAAGCCCCGGAGCCGGGUGCGGCCGAUGUGGUCUUGCCAUCUCGUGCCGCCGCCACCGCGCCCUUCUUCUCCCAUGUUGCGACCUACUUCCACGCUGCCGCCGCAUCGCACUGCCCUCGCAUGACCUGGCACUUCUCAGAUGUGAUUGGGUGAGUGCGUGGGGAGGGAACAGAUGAAGUAGACAUGCACGGCGAUUGAUUUUCGGCACCAUUGUUGAUUUCUCGCCGCCAAAACGCACCUCGCCACAGCUGAUCGGCCAGAGGCGUCGGUCGUCGGGUGGAGAUGAUGGGUAUAACACGCUUCGAUCCGUCGAUUCUUCUCGGAGCACGAGCCGCGGCCAUCGUCUC
This 525-nucleotide long non-coding RNA is filed under the name Setaria viridis. Its description in RNAcentral is "long non-coding RNA (SVIR_LNC005141)". The record is from RNAcentral. Lineage: Eukaryota; Viridiplantae; Streptophyta; Magnoliopsida; Poales; Poaceae.